This 263-nucleotide ribosomal RNA is filed under the name Alternaria panax. RNAcentral's name for it is "5.8S ribosomal RNA". The stretch from base 30 to 183 matches the Rfam family "5.8S ribosomal RNA". From Rfam's summary of the family: 5.8S ribosomal RNA (5.8S rRNA) is a component of the large subunit of the eukaryotic ribosome. It is transcribed by RNA polymerase I as part of the 45S precursor that also contains 18S and 28S rRNA. Lineage: Eukaryota; Fungi; Ascomycota; Dothideomycetes; Pleosporales; Pleosporaceae. The record is from RNAcentral.
AUCAGCGUCAGUAACAACAUAAUAAUUACAACUUUCAACAACGGAUCUCUUGGUUCUGGCAUCGAUGAAGAACGCAGCGAAAUGCGAUAAGUAGUGUGAAUUGCAGAAUUCAGUGAAUCAUCGAAUCUUUGAACGCACAUUGCGCCCUUUGGUAUUCCAAAGGGCAUGCCUGUUCGAGCGUCAUUUGUACCCUCAAGCUUUGCUUGGUGUUGGGCGUCUUGUCUCUAGUUCGCUGGAGACUCGCCUUAAAGUCAUUGGCAGCC